Molecule: long non-coding RNA, 279 nt
Filed under: Elaeis guineensis (African oil palm)
Lineage: Eukaryota; Viridiplantae; Streptophyta; Magnoliopsida; Arecales; Arecaceae
Description: long non-coding RNA (EGUI_LNC066322)
Source: RNAcentral
GAAGAGUCCAAGAGAUCUUGGACUCUUCAAUAGUUGUCGCCACAUUCACACAAAUCCCACGCCAAAGGAAAAGAUGGAUGCCCCCUUUCAGAUUUUCACUGUGAAAACUGAUUUCCCACUGUCACAAUAACUUUAUUUUGUCACACAAAAUAAACCACAUAUAGAAGAAAUAAGGAUGAGAUCAAAAUCUCAUCAAGAUAAGGAAUGUUGUUACAAAUCAAAUUCAAAACAUUCCAAACUUUAACAAUCCAUAAGGGGCAAUGAAGGGGCGCAUGAGAA